GAUGAACGCUGGCGGCGUGCCUAAUACAUGCAAGUCGAGCGAACAGACGAGGAGCUUGCUCUUCUGGCGUUAGCGGCGGACGGGUGAGUAACACGUGGGUAACCUACCUAUAAGACUGGGAUAACUUCGGGAAACCGUAGCUAAUACCGGAUAAUAUAUUAAAUUGCAUGGUUCAAUAGUGAAAGAUGGUUUUGCUGUAACAUAUAGAUGGAUCCGGUCCGCAUUAGCUAGUUGUUAAGGUAACGGUUUACCAAGGCAACGAAGAGUAGCCGACCUGAGAGGGUGAUGGGCCACACUGGAACGGAGACCCGGUCCAGACUCUUCCGGGAGGAACAAGUAGGGAAUCUUCCGCAAUGGGCGAAAGCUUGCCGGAGCAACGCCGCGGGAGUGAUGAAGGUCUUCGGAUCGUAAAACCCUGUUAUUAGGGAAGAACAAUUGUGUAAGUAACUAUGCACGCCUUGACGGUACCUAAUCAGAAAGCCACGGCUAACUACGUG
This 497-nucleotide ribosomal RNA is filed under the name uncultured bacterium. RNAcentral describes it as "partial 16S ribosomal RNA". It matches the Rfam family "Bacterial small subunit ribosomal RNA", at positions 28 to 507 of the family's 1533-position model. The record is from RNAcentral.